GAUGAACGCUGGCGGCGUGCCUAAUACAUGCAAGUCGAGCGAACGGACGAGAAGCUUGCCUCUCUGAUGUUAGCGGCGGACGGGUGAGUAACACGUGGAUAACCUACCUAUAAGACUGGGAUAACUUCGGGAAACCGGAGCUAAUACCGGAUAAUAUUUUGAACCGCAUGGUUCAAAAGUGAAAGACGGUCUUGCUGUCACUUAUAGAUGGAUCCGCGCUGCAUUAGCUAGUUGGUAAGGUAACGGCUUACCAAGGCAACGAUGCAUAGCCGACCUGAGAGGGUGAUCGGCCACACUGGAACUGAGACACGGUCCAGACUCCUACGGGAGGCAGCAGUAGGGAAUCUUCCGCAAUGGGCGAAAGCCUGACGGAGCAACGCCGCGUGAGUGAUGAAGGUCUUCGGAUCGUAAAACUCUGUUAUUAGGGAAGAACAUAUGUGUAAGUAACUGUGCACAUCUUGGCGGUACCUAAUCAGAAAGCCACGGCUAACUACGUG
RNAcentral lists this ribosomal RNA (497 nucleotides) under uncultured bacterium. RNAcentral's name for it is "partial 16S ribosomal RNA". It matches the Rfam family "Bacterial small subunit ribosomal RNA", at positions 28 to 507 of the family's 1533-position model. The record is from RNAcentral.